Molecule: ribosomal RNA, 300 nt
Filed under: uncultured Bacillus sp.
Lineage: Bacteria; Bacillati; Bacillota; Bacilli; Caryophanales; Bacillaceae
Description: bacterial SSU rRNA
Rfam family: Bacterial small subunit ribosomal RNA
Source: RNAcentral
GGUGACUUGGGUGCAUGAGCGCGGUGAAUAGUAGGGGUGGAAGCGUGACGUGGAGUGUCUGGGCGGAGAGGGGGCGUAGGUGGGUUUUGAAGUCAUCUGGGAAAUCCCCGGGCGCAACCGGGGAAGGGAAGUGGGUACUGGCAAGCUAGGGUGCGGUAGAGGGUAGGGGAAGUCCCGGGGUAGCAGUGAAAUGCGUAGAGAUCGGGAGGAACACCAGUGGCGAAGGCGGCUACCUGGACCAGCACUGACACGGAGGCACGAAAGCGUGGGGAGCAAACAGGAGUAGAUACCCUGGUAGUC